GAUGAACGCUGGCGGCGUGCCUAACACAUGCAAGUCGAACGGAGAUUACGGGCGGAAGUUUUCGGAUGGAAGCCUGUAAUUCUUAGUGGCGGACGGGUGAGUAACGCGUGGGCAACCUGCCCUAUACAGGGGGAUAGCAGCUGGAAACGGCUGGUAAGACCGCAUAAGUCGGCGAGACCGCAUGGUUUUGCCGGGAAAUGAGCAAUCAGGUAUAGGAUGAGCCCGCGUCCGAUUAGCCAGUUGGCAGGGUAAAAGCCUACCAAAGCAACGAUCGGUAGCCGGACUGAGAGGUCGGACGGCCACAUUGGGACUGAGACACGGCCCAAACUCCUACGGGAGGCAGCAGUGGGGGAUAUUGCACAAUGGAGGAAACUCUGAUGCAGCGACGCCGCGUGAGUGAAGAAGUAUUUCGGUAUGUAAAGCUCUAUCAGCAGGGAAGAUGAUGACGGUACCUGACUAAGAAGCCCCGGCUAACUACGUG
Molecule: ribosomal RNA, 481 nt
Filed under: uncultured bacterium
Lineage: Bacteria
Description: partial 16S ribosomal RNA
Rfam family: Bacterial small subunit ribosomal RNA
Source: RNAcentral